This 582-nucleotide long non-coding RNA is filed under the name Citrus sinensis (sweet orange). RNAcentral describes it as "long non-coding RNA (CSIN_LNC002349)". The record is from RNAcentral. Lineage: Eukaryota; Viridiplantae; Streptophyta; Magnoliopsida; Sapindales; Rutaceae.
UGCUCCCUCCUCUAUUAGGGUCCCUCUUAAUUUUCAACAUGUUUCCAGCUUUCACGGAUAAUAAUGGAAAUAAGGGGUUAAUCUAUUAACCAAUUACAGGCAGCAAUAUUACAAGAUUAAGAUAUGAAGCUAGAUUUCUUUUUUUUCUUUUUUUUUUGAAGUACUUAAAGCUGUUGGAACAUGAUUAUUAGUUUCUGUUUGGUCAAAUUUACAUGGUAAGAUCAUUAAAUUAUUCUGAUUUGAAUCACAGUCCAAGCAAGAUCUUCCCAAGGCAGAGGAGUAUUACUCUCGAGCCAUUCUAGCAGAUCCUGGAGAUGGAGAAAUUCUAUCACAAUAUGCCAAGUUAGUGUGGGAGCUUCAUAAUGACCAAGACAGAGCUGCUACUUACUAUGAAAGAGCAGUCCACGCUUCCCCUGAAGAUAGGUAUAAAAGUUGUAUACAUGUAUAUCCAUACUCUCGAAUCCAAGUUAUUUUAUCAUUUCUAAAUUCAUAGUUCAGCUUCAUUUACCUGACAUUCACCCAUUUUUCAGCCAUGUUCAUGCAUCAUAUGCUGGUUUCCUCUGGGAAACAGAGGAAGACAAU